GAUGAACGCUGGCGGCGUGCCUAAUACAUGCAAGUCGAGCGAACGGACGAGAAGCUUGCUUUUCUGAUGUUAGCGGCGGACGGGUGAGUAACACGUGGAUAACCUACCUAUAAGACUGGGAUAACUUCGGGAAACCGGAGCUAAUACCGGAUAAUAUUUUGAACCGCAUGGUUCAAAAGUGAAAGACGGUCUUGCUGUCACUUAUAGAUGGAUCCGCGCUGCAUUAGCUAGUUGGUAAGGUAACGGCUUACCAAGGCAACGAUGCAUAGCCGACCUGAGAGGGUGAUCGGCCACACUGGAACUGAGACACGGUCCAGACUCCUACGGGAGGCAGCAGUAGGGAAUCUUCCGCAAUGGGCGAAAGCCUGACGGAGCAACGCCGCGUGAGUGAUGAAGGUCUUCGGAUCGUAAAACUCUGUUAUUAGGGAAGAACAGAUGUGUAAGUAACUGUGCACAUCUUGACGGUACCUAAUCAGAAAGCCACGGCUAACUUCGUG
RNAcentral lists this ribosomal RNA (497 nucleotides) under uncultured bacterium. RNAcentral's name for it is "partial 16S ribosomal RNA". It matches the Rfam family "Bacterial small subunit ribosomal RNA", at positions 28 to 507 of the family's 1533-position model. The record is from RNAcentral.